GAAGUUGGAGUCGCUAGUAAUCGCAGAUCAGCAACGCUGCGGUGAAUACGUUCCCGGGCCUUGUACACAUCGCCCGUCACGUCAUGAAAGUCGGUAACACCCGAAGCCGGUGGCCUAACCCCUCGUGGGAGGGAGCCGUCGAAGGUGGGAUCGGCGAUUGGGACGAAGUCGUAACAAGGUAGCCGUACCGGAAGGUGCGGCUGGAUCACCUCCUUU
Molecule: ribosomal RNA, 216 nt
Filed under: Nocardia cyriacigeorgica
Lineage: Bacteria; Bacillati; Actinomycetota; Actinomycetes; Mycobacteriales; Nocardiaceae
Description: partial 16S ribosomal RNA
Rfam family: Bacterial small subunit ribosomal RNA
Source: RNAcentral